GACGAACGCUGGCGGCGUGCCUAACACAUGCAAGUCGAACGAGAUCCAUGGGAGCUUGCUCCCGGAAGAUCUAGUGGCGAACGGGUGAGUAACACGUGAGAAACCUGCCCUGGAGUGGGGAAUAACUCGGGGAAACUCGAGCUAAUACCGCAUACCCUCGGAUGGUCGCAUGGCCGACCGAGGAAAAGAUUUAUCGCUCUAGGAGGGUCUCGCGGCCUAUCAGCUAGUUGGUGGGGUAACGGCCUACCAAGGCAACGACGGGUAGGCUGGUUUGAGAGAACGAUCAGCCACACUGGGACUGAGACACGGCCCAGACUCCUACGGGAGGCAGCAGUGGGGAAUCUUGCGCAAUGGGCGAAAGCCUGACGCAGCAACGCCGCGUGCGGGAUGACGGCCUUCGUGGUUGUAAACGCUUUCAGCAGGGACGAAAAUGACGGUACCUGCAGAGAAGCCCCGGCUAACUACGUGCCAGCAGCCGCGGUAAU
RNAcentral lists this ribosomal RNA (485 nucleotides) under uncultured bacterium. RNAcentral describes it as "bacterial SSU rRNA". It matches the Rfam family "Bacterial small subunit ribosomal RNA", at positions 28 to 524 of the family's 1533-position model. The record is from RNAcentral.